UUUUAACAAAUUUAAUUUUUACUUCAUUAUAGUAAAAUCAGUAUAAAUAGUAUAACAAAAUUCCUACGACAUUGAUUAUAUACAUUCUUACAGGAAAUCACAUGACCGACAGUACACUGCAUAUAUAAAUAUAUAUAUAUCUCAUCUGCAUUAUACAAAGCAAGAAGUCCCAAAUGAAUGUAUAAACAUGAUUAAUUUGGUAGCUUCAAAUAUUUCUGUGUAAAAAAUCACUAGUAAUUACCGCUAAUCAAUCAUGUCCAUUCUCAAUUUAAUAUUUCCAUUAAUUGCUUCUAUUACAAUGAUAUAGUAAGCACCAACUGUAUGCACUACAUAAAUGUCUGAAGUGAACUAGCCUAUGUUGAAUUAAGCAUAUUACAAAGCUAACAACCACUACUAUAAUAUAAUCAAUAUGUGAUAAUUAUCCAUAUACUGUAAAUUAUGAAAUUAUUGAGUGCAUGGAUUGUUGAGAUUUUUUAACAGUGGACAAAAAUGCAAGAUUAAGAUGGAUAUAAAUCAUAACAAUGCCAAUCAAAUAGUAACAUUGUCUAAAGAGGUAUGACUGGAUGACAAGAUGAGAAAUACUUACCAUCAAUCUAACCUGAAUUCAUAUAAUGCAUAUGACUAAUUGAGCAAAUCAGAUGGCUGCCAUGUUUACUCAAGAAAUCCUGAAUCUAACUAAAGACCAAAAAUUUACUAAGUCUACUGCAAACACCAUUCCAAAAAUGCAUAAAUCCUGAGUAAUCACUGAAUGGCUGAAGAAAAGAAAAGACAGAAAACUGGUCUGGUUUAUGAAACAUAGACUUAAAUCAAUGGGAAUACUUUUUCUUAAUUGUCUCCAAAUUCAAACUUUUUGGAGUGAAUUCUGUUACUAGUUAUUAUACAUACUAAUCUUUUUCAUAUCUAUAUUAAAUAUAAUGAUAAUUAAUCAACUGUUUAUGCAGUUAUCUUAUUUCUUUGAGCAGUUCCUUAACACCAUACAUUGGAUCCAAGAAAGGCACUUUGAAAAGUCAACUACCAUUGGUGUCAAAUACUUUUUUGUACAGUGAAAUGUACCAGUAAGUGAAAUUCUAAAAUUUCCUCUACAAGUGGUUACAAUAUUUUCAAAGUGCUUUCCUCUAUACAUCAAAUAUUUUUUGGUGGACAAGUCCUUUUACAAUAUAAUAAUUAUCAUAACUUAACUAAAACAAAAAGUUCAAAUUUAAAAAUCAAUCUUAACAGCACCAAACUCAUCAUAAAAAUAUUUUAAAUGUAUAUCAUAAUUUGACAGGAAGGGUACGGCAUGUCUAACUUUUUUGAGUUUUCAGUGUGGAAACUAUAAAGUAAAAUAGAUAUUGGAGACAAUCAAAUCUGCACUUGACAGCAGCAACUCUUAAACUUUUUAAAAUAAUGUUAUUACUUAUACAUUACAAACAGGAAAUAAUGCAUUAGACUUUCAAAAAUGUAUUAAAUUCAAAUAAUAUAAACUGUCAUGAAUGUUUUGGUGAAUUAAUGUCAUGGCAUAUCAUA
Molecule: long non-coding RNA, 1506 nt
Filed under: Mytilus galloprovincialis (Mediterranean mussel)
Lineage: Eukaryota; Metazoa; Mollusca; Bivalvia; Mytilida; Mytilidae
Source: RNAcentral